Molecule: ribosomal RNA, 311 nt
Filed under: Proteroiulus fuscus
Lineage: Eukaryota; Metazoa; Arthropoda; Diplopoda; Julida; Blaniulidae
Description: eukaryotic LSU rRNA
Rfam family: Eukaryotic large subunit ribosomal RNA
Source: RNAcentral
CCAAGGAGUCUAACAUGUAUGCGAGUCUUUGGGAGUGAUAACCCUAUAGGCGAAAUUAAAGUAAAGGCAACCUCGGUUGCCUAGGCGGGAUCCCGGCGACUCUGUUUCGUCGGGCGCACCGCCGGCCCGUCCAACGACCGCUUUGCCGGCCGGGCGGAGCUAGAGCAUGCACGUUGGUACCCGAAAGAUGGUGAACUAUGCCCGGGCAGGACGAGGCCAGAGGAAACUCUGGUGGAAGUCCGUAGCGAUUCUGACGUGCAAAUCGAUCGUCGGACCUGGGUAUAGGGGCGAAAGACUAAUCGAACCAUCUA